CAGGACGAACGCUGGCGGCGUGCCUAACACAUGCAAGUCGAACGGGGUUGAGUGCUUCGGUAUUCAACUUAGUGGCGAACGGGUGAGUAACGCGUGAAGAACCUGCCUUUCAGUGGGGGACAACAGUUGGAAACGACUGCUAAUACCGCAUGACACUUUUUGGGGGCAUCCCCGAGAAGUCAAAGCUUUAUGUGCUGAAAGAUGGCUUCGCGUCUGAUUAGCUAGUUGGUGGGGUAACGGCCCACCAAGGCGACGAUCAGUAGCCGGUCUGAGAGGAUGAACGGCCACAUUGGGACUGAGACACGGCCCAGACUCCUACGGGAGGCAGCAGUGGGGGAUAUUGCACAAUGGGGGAAACCCUGAUGCAGCGACGCCGCGUGAGGGAAGACGGUCCUCUGGAUUGUAAACCUCUGUCUUCGGGGACGAAACGAGACGGUACCCGAGGAGGAAGCCACGGCUAACUACGUG
This 468-nucleotide ribosomal RNA is filed under the name uncultured bacterium. RNAcentral's name for it is "bacterial SSU rRNA". It matches the Rfam family "Bacterial small subunit ribosomal RNA", at positions 25 to 507 of the family's 1533-position model. The record is from RNAcentral.